AUGAUCUUCCUUCCUGCCUUCCUUGAUUCAUCAAACUUCUGGAACACCGACCAUAACCAGCUUCAGCUGCAACAAAUCGGUACUAACACUCAUAGUACUACCACUUCUUCACCCGCUGGUCCUGGUGAUGGAGAAUGCAAGAACAGCAAUAAAAAACGGUUCAUGGCCACGGCCGGGGCUGGCUCCGGCGCUGCAGGGGGUGGCGAUGAUGGUUGCGGCGGUGCUGUUGACGGCGAUUGCGGUGGCAUCGGGAAUAAGAAGUCGAGGUCCAUGUCAGAGCGAGCACGGCUAGCGCGGUUGCCGCAGCCAGUGCCAGGGCUCAACUGCCCGCGAUGCGACUCCACCAACACCAAAUUUUGCUACUUCAAUAACUACUCCCUUACCCAGCCCCGCCACUUCUGCCGCUCCUGCAGCCGCUACUGGACCCGCGGCGGCGCGCUCCGCAACGUCCCCGUCGGCGGGGGGUGUCGUCGCAAUACCAAGCGCAGGGCCAAGCCCAAGGUGGUAUCAGCCACCUCUCGAGCCGCUAUGGUAGGGACGUCGUCCGUGACAUCAACCAUGUCCAGCAGUACCACUUAUGUCACCGGCACCGGCACUACACCACCCAGAUUGCAGUACCCCAUGUUCGGCAGUGUGCCGUCGCACGACAGCCAGUUCGCCGACAGCUUCGACCCAGCGAACCUUGGUCUCAUCUUCCCCGUCAGGCUGCUCCUUGCCGAUAGCGAUGCUUCCGCAGUAGACGGCUGUGCACAGCAGCACCACCACCAUGCCCAUGGGAACGGGAUGGAGCAGUUGUCGGUAGCGCAGGAUAGCUUCCCAUUCAUGUACGCGAUGGAUCAUCAGAUGUCUGGACUGUCAGCUCAGGCUAUGCCCAUCACAAUGGGUACGAUGCAGGGCAUGUUCCACGUAGGGUUACAGGGCAUCGGCGGGGGUAAUGGCGAUGAGAUAGGAGGCCAACAGUUGCACCACCCGCCGGCCAAGAGAAACCACAAGCAGCAAGAUUACCCGAGCAGCAGGGACAUGUACGGGGACGUGGUCAAUGCCAAUGGUGGUGUCGGCUACAUUUAA
RNAcentral lists this ribosomal RNA (1068 nucleotides) under Triticum aestivum (bread wheat). RNAcentral's name for it is "partial small subunit ribosomal RNA". Lineage: Eukaryota; Viridiplantae; Streptophyta; Magnoliopsida; Poales; Poaceae. The record is from RNAcentral.